UGGCGGACGGGGUGAGUAAUGUCUGGGAAACUGCCCGAUGGAGGGGGAUAACUACUGGAAACGGUAGCUAAUACCGCAUAACGUCGCAAGACCAAAGCGGGGGACCUCCGGGCCUCGCGCCAUCAGAUGAACCCAUAUGGGAUUAGCUUGUAGGUAAGGUAACGGCUUACCUAGGCGACGAUCCCUAGCUGGUCUGAGAGGAUGAUCAGCCACACUGGGACUGAGACACGGUCCAG
RNAcentral lists this ribosomal RNA (236 nucleotides) under uncultured bacterium. RNAcentral's name for it is "partial 16S ribosomal RNA". It matches the Rfam family "Bacterial small subunit ribosomal RNA", at positions 96 to 334 of the family's 1533-position model. The record is from RNAcentral.